CACAUGCACGCACACGCACAUACAUGCACACACCUGCACGCACACACCUGCACGCACACACACGCACAUGCACGCACCUGCACACACACGCACAUACAUGCACGCACCUGCACGCACACGCACAUACAUGCACGCACCUGCACGCACACGCACAUACAUGCACACACCUGCACGCACACACCUGCAUGCACACACCUGCACGCACACACACGCACAUGCACGCACCUGCACGCACACGCACAUACAUGCACGCACCUGCACGCACACGCACAUACAUGCACGCACCUGCACGCACACGCACAUACAUGCACGCACCUGCACGCACACACCUGCACGCACACACACGCACAUGCACGCACCUGCACGCACACGCACAUACAUGUGUGCACACACACAUUUUUGUUUGGGGCCCUGUCUUCAGUGGAGGUCAAAUUCUAGCUUGUGGGCCAGCCCUGCUGUCGUGACUGUGUCCCCCUUUCAUGGGGUCAAGGAAGGCCCCAGGCCACGCACUCCUCGUUAAUGAGAACUGCAGAUCGCGGUGCUUUGUGAAUGAGUGCCUCGCCUCUGCGUUCGCUCCUUGCACAGUGAAAAUCCCCCUUUCCAUCAGUUCCAAGAUUUGCCUCUUAGGAUUUUAGUGCUUUUGUCACCAAAGACCCUGUGCUUCUUGUCCUUCAAGUGGUCCUAUGGCUGCAGCUUCUGCGUCUUAUCCCAUGUUCUUCAGGCCACGCGGAAUUAAUUGGAUUUGCUUUUUGAGCUCAGUUUCCUUCCUCUUAUGGAUCUGUGAGGAAAAUGUGAGGUCAUGUGGCCUGUGGCCACUCACGCCUUAGAGCAGCGUAGCUUCUCUUCUUAUCUGGUGCAGAAACAGUCAAGAGAAAUCAUUGGCUGUGAGUUUCUGUCAAUGAGAAUGCCAUCCACGAAGCCCAAGGAUGAAAUCGAGCAUCUUUCUUCUCUUGUUUGGCUUUUGGUAACUAGGUGGUCACCUUGAGCAUCCUCAAUUCUUUUUGACAUUUGUGAAUCUAAGACAAGGAAGUCUUACAGGCGCCGAAGGGCCUGGGAGAGAAAUGGCAGGUCCUAAGUACUGGGUCUUCGUUCAGUGAGAACAGACUUUCAGUGAGAAAAUGGUUGCCCUCAGCAGACUGGCGUGGACCACGCACCCUCCAGGAGCCCCCCCGGUGACUAGAAACGAAGCAGAUGCCGAGGGGAAGGAGGGGAAGAGGAAGUGGCUUCAGGUUUGGAGCCAGCGAGCAGGAGCCCUCUGUCACUGCAGUGAGGCCGGGGCGGGGGCCAAGAGCUGCCUGCUCUGCAGCCAUGCGUCUCAGGGCUGCUGCGUUCACCGGGGCUUCCGUUCCCCACUGUGCACGGCCCACGUGUGGUCCCCAUCAGGACAGACAACACUGAAAGCAGGAUGCCAAACAGCGAGAGGAGUCAGGGCCUCACCCGUGUCCCUGCAAACCAACAGGUGUGUGGUUGACCCGGCCAUCCCAGCGGCUCCUCGAAGGCUCCUCCGUCAGCAGAGUGACCAGGUGUCACCAGGAACUCCCAAAUCCCACCAAGUCCAGCCAACCACUCUCCGCAAGGAUGCUACAUGGUUCCGCAGUCAGGUUUCAGAGCCUCCGUCAUGCAUGCGCAUGGCAUCGCUCACGUUAGGGGUCAGGAUAGGUUACUUUCCGCCGCAUAGGGAGCAAAGGUGUGGGCUGCAGCACCUGGCCUUUUAAGGUCUGUUAAACCCAAUCUAAAACAUGCUUGGCCCCUCUUGUAUCCCCUGCACUUGUUUUUUCUUCUGUAUCACCUGUGUCCAAAAAAGAACGGAGAUGAGUGCUUCUCAGUGUUAACCUUUGCUUCUCCGCCAGCCCGCGCGGCCGUGUGGAAAGGGCAGUGCUGUACCCGCUGGGCUUAGUAAAGGAAAUCAGUUAUUCUAGGAUAGUCGAGCUAUAUCAUUACUCUGGGAAUCCGACUGUGAAGUCACCGGUAGAUGAUUGCGGAGCAGUUCACAUAGAGUAGAGACGUGGGGUCUCCCACCUGCUUCGCGGCAUCCCCUCAGAUCCACCGCACGUCAUUUCUGCACCAAUGCUAGAAUACUGUUGUGUUGUAAGAAUGACUAGUUUUUAAAGAAUCCGCCCUGAAAACAACUUGACUUAACAACAAAGUGCAAGAGAAGAACUUAUCAUUUACCCAGUUUUCCCCUGCAGGAUGGGAACAUACGAAGGCAGGGAAAGCCGGGAUGGGAUUUUCCUUCGGCUCUUUAUCACGCUCCGCCUGCAGCCGCUGGGCGGUGAUGCCCAGGUGAGAGGCUGUAGCCUGGCCCCCCAGCACAGGCCUCUGACGCCUUUGGGUCACAUCUGUAAUUGCAGAAGGAAGUUGACUGAACAUGAAAUAGUUAUGUUGAGGCUAAGUAUUUUUCCAGAAGUUUUGCUUUCAGACUUCCUAAUGGCUCUGCCUCCUGGGCUUCUGUCAUCGAAAAACUGCUUUAAAAAGUGAUCCGAAAUUCUGUUUUAACCUGAUGUUGAACACCUUUAAACGUGAGGGUUUAUUUGUGUGUGUGGCGCUAAUUCUAACCUUUGGAGGCAUUUCAGUGUUGUCAAUGGCCCAUUGGCAUUGGAAAGGUUCUGGAAUCGCCCAUCUGUCUCUGGAGAUGGAAUUAAACCAAAUACAGUGCUUCCAUUGGAAGGCUUCUGUUGACCUUGUAACUAUAUGUUAAUCCUCUAAAUGUUAAAUAAAAAUAUAACUUCUGGCACCGUAUCCCGGGAUGGUUUUGUUGCACCGAGAUGACCCCGGUCACUGAGGCAGCCAGAGUCCCUGGGGCCCAGCCCCAGCCUGCACCUCGCUGACUUCCUGUGUAAACCCAAGACAAGCCCUGCAGCCAUCUGCCUGGGGAGGGGCUUGAGAGCCAGCCAGCUCUGCAGACCAGCCCACCCACGGGGGCAAAGCUGUCAGAGAUGGUCAGGUGGGAUCCAGGUGGCCUGGGCCCAGGAUUUGGGGAGGCUCCUCAUGACUGGGAAGUUUUUUUGCUGCAGAUUCAGCUGGC
Long non-coding RNA from Equus asinus (donkey), 3025 nucleotides. NCBI's taxonomy places the organism in Eukaryota, Metazoa, Chordata, Mammalia, Perissodactyla, Equidae. The record is from Ensembl.